UGGUAGCUCAGCUGGAUAGAGUGUCUGACUACGAAUCAGAAGGCCAGGGGUUCGAGUCCCUUUCAG
Molecule: transfer RNA, 66 nt
Filed under: uncultured Gemmiger sp.
Lineage: Bacteria; Bacillati; Bacillota; Clostridia; Eubacteriales; Oscillospiraceae
Rfam family: tRNA
About the family: Transfer RNA (tRNA) molecules are approximately 80 nucleotides in length. Their secondary structure includes four short double-helical elements and three loops (D, anti-codon, and T loops).
Source: RNAcentral